GUUAGAAUCAAUGUUAGAGUAACGGUUUAGGGUUAGAAUGACAUUUACUGUUAAAAUAAAAUAACAUUUACAAAUAAUUAUACAGGUUUUUUUUUUUUAUCACAGGUUGUCCUCACUUACCGACCGGGUUCUGUUCUUACAACCCAGUCGUAAAGCAAAUUGGUCAGUAAGUUAGGAUGCGCUAGCAAGGGUGUGCAAAAGAG
Non-coding RNA from Pelobates cultripes (western spadefoot toad), 203 nucleotides. The record is from the annotation of a GenBank genome assembly. NCBI's taxonomy places the organism in Eukaryota, Metazoa, Chordata, Amphibia, Anura, Pelobatidae.